GAAGGGAUGACUGAGCGGUUAAAAGUGAUAGAUUGUAAAUCUAUUGAAUAAUAUUCUACAUAGGUUCAAAUCCUAUUCCCUUCA
RNAcentral lists this transfer RNA (84 nucleotides) under Gloeochaete wittrockiana. RNAcentral describes it as "tRNA-Tyr". It matches the Rfam family "tRNA". From Rfam's summary of the family: Transfer RNA (tRNA) molecules are approximately 80 nucleotides in length. Their secondary structure includes four short double-helical elements and three loops (D, anti-codon, and T loops). Further hydrogen bonds mediate the characteristic L-shaped molecular structure. tRNAs have two regions of fundamental functional importance: the anti-codon, which is responsible for specific mRNA codon recognition, and the 3' end, to which the tRNAs corresponding amino acid is attached (by aminoacyl-tRNA synthetases). tRNAs cope with the degeneracy of the genetic code in two manners: having more than one tRNA (with a specific anti-codon) for a particular amino acid; and 'wobble' base-pairing, i.e. permitting non-standard base-pairing at the 3rd anti-codon position. Lineage: Eukaryota; Glaucocystophyceae; Gloeochaetales; Gloeochaetaceae. The record is from RNAcentral.